CCCGUAGAUGCAGCGACGCCGCGUGAGCGAUGAAGCCCUUCGGGGUGUAAAGCUCUUUCGACCCGGAAGAUAAUGACGGUACGGGGAGAAGAAGCUGCGGCUAACUACGUGCCAGCAGCCGCGGUAAUACGUAGGCAGCGAGCGUUGUUCGGAGUUACUGGGCGUAAAGCGUGCGUAGGCGGUGGCCCAAGUCUGGUGUGAAAUCUCCCGGCUUAACCGGGAGGGUGCGCCGGAAACUGGGUCGCUGGAGUACUGGAGAGGCAGGCGGAAUUCCUGGUGUAGCGGUGAAAUGCGUAGAUAUCAGGAGGAACACCCGCGGUGUAGACGGCCUGCUGGACAGUCACUGACGCUGAGGCACGAAAGCGUGGGGAGCAAACAGGAUUAGAUACCCUGGUAGUCCACGCCCUAAACGAUGCAUACUUGGUGUGGGCAGUUCAGUCUGUCCGUGCCGAAGCUAACGCGAUAAGUAUGCCGCCUGGGGAGCACGGUCGCAAGGCUG
This 499-nucleotide ribosomal RNA is filed under the name uncultured Acidobacteriota bacterium. Its description in RNAcentral is "bacterial SSU rRNA". It matches the Rfam family "Bacterial small subunit ribosomal RNA", at positions 379 to 896 of the family's 1533-position model. Lineage: Bacteria; Pseudomonadati; Acidobacteriota. The record is from RNAcentral.